GACGAACGCUGGCGGCGUGCUUAACACAUGCAAGUCGAACGGAAAGGCCCUGCUUUUGUGGGGUGCUCGAGUGGCGAACGGGUGAGUAACACGUGAGUAACCUGCCCUUGACUUUGGGAUAACUUCAGGAAACUGGGGCUAAUACCGGAUAGGAGCUCCUGCUGCAUGGUGGGGGUUGGAAAGUUUCGGCGGUUGGGGAUGGACUCGCGGCUUAUCAGCUUGUUGGUGGGGUAGUGGCUUUCCAAGGCUUUGACGGGUAGCCGGCCUGAGAGGGUGACCGGCCACAUUGGGACUGAGAUACGGCCCAGACUCCUACGGGAGGCAGCAGUGGGGAAUAUUGCACAAUGGGCGGAAGCCUGAUGCAGUAACGCCGCGUGCGGGAUGACGGCCUUCGGGUUGUAAACCGCUUUCGCCUGUGACGAAGCGUGAGUGACGGUAAUGGGUAAAGAAGCACCGGCUAACUACGUG
Molecule: ribosomal RNA, 468 nt
Filed under: uncultured bacterium
Lineage: Bacteria
Description: partial 16S ribosomal RNA
Rfam family: Bacterial small subunit ribosomal RNA
Source: RNAcentral